Molecule: ribosomal RNA, 321 nt
Filed under: uncultured bacterium
Lineage: Bacteria
Description: partial 16S ribosomal RNA
Source: RNAcentral
AACACAUGCAGUCGAACGGCAGCACAGGAGAGCUUGCUCUCUGGGUGGCGAGUGGCGGACGGGUGAGGAAUACAUCGGAAUCUACUCUGUCGUGGGGGAUAACGUAAGUGGAAACUUACGCUAAUACCAGCAUACGAACCUAACGUAGAGUUGAAAUGCAAGAGGUAGAUCUUCGGACACUUUGCUGCGAUUUGAAUUGAGCCAAGAUAGUCAGAGAAUUANAGCUAGUUUGAGCAGAGUGAGUUAAAAGAGCCCAACCAAGAGACAGAACAGAAUCCAGUUAAAGCAUAGAGUCUAGACAGAAAGGAUAGAAUCAAGCCA